Xenopus laevis (African clawed frog) is the source of this 2229-nucleotide long non-coding RNA. RefSeq lists it as uncharacterized. The record is from RefSeq and is a predicted model, not a curated record. NCBI's taxonomy places the organism in Eukaryota, Metazoa, Chordata, Amphibia, Anura, Pipidae. The transcript is spliced from 2 exons.
UUGGCCACUACACAUGACGUCUAAUCUAGCUGUAAUGCAACUGCAAGCGCUCAGCAGAGAUCUCCCUGCAGUUGGUAAUCGCUGGGUUAGUGACGCAGCGCACCCGGAACUCACCCAAACUCUCUUUCCUGACUUGGGUUUUGGUGGGGGAGGACAAUAACGGAGAACGGAGAAUCUGAUUGGCCUGUGGGUGCUCGCAGUGCAGCGAAUUGUUGUUUUUACCCAACGCGAACCUUCACUCCCCCUUCUCCCACCUUGUUCUUGAAUAAUGAGCAGCCCCGUGCCAGAGGAACAAGUUAACAAAGCUGUUCUCCGUUAUUGUCCUCCCCCACCAACGUCACGAGCUGCCGCACAAAGUUUUUUCAAGAGUUCACCGUGAUUGAUGAUAUUGUCUGGCAUCUCACGUCUCCUGCGUGUGUAAAUUCUAGAGUGACUUGUCCUGGCUGCAUCUGGGAGAGCAAGGGGGGGGGGUUAAGAACACUAGCAGCAGAAGAACCAAGUGCUACAGACCUGCACAGAUCAAAUUACAGACUUGUUGACUGCUGCACCGAAGGAUUUGAAUUUCCCGCCCACAAUGGCAAAGAAUUGUCUGUAACACCGGGCUAUGGACUUGCCUAAGGAAAAGUUGGUGGCUCAGUGACCCCCCAUCUGUCUCAGCACGGGGAGAUUAGUGGAGAUCAUCAUGUGGCCACUCCACAUGUGGUUCACCAAAGCGCAUUGUCAUUAGACUUGCCCAGGAAAAGUGCAGCUGAGAUUAAAAAGGAGAAAAAGGAGAUUAAAGGCUAAAUUAAAAUGCCUAAACAGAGCCUUACAGGAGAUCAAAGCUGUUAUCCAACUCUGCACCAGCGCCUAAGUGCUUCUUAAAGCACCCACAGUAACACCAGUUGUUUUUAUUUCCUAAUUACUCUAGUUACACUAUUUCCUUCUCUUCAUUCCACCUUCAGUUUUACCAGCAGCACCUCUUCUGAAGGCAGCCAGUUCCACCAGCGGUGCCCCAACCUUCUCUGCUGCAUUUCCAAAAGUGGCAUCCCAUCCUUCUCUACUGCAGUUCCACCAGUGGCGCCCCAUCCUUCUUUGCAUCAGUUCUACCAGUGGCACCCCAUCCUUCUCUGCCGCAGUUCCACCAAUGGAGCCCCAUUCUUUUCUGCUGCAGUUCCACCAGCGAUACCCCCUUUCUGCUGCAGUUCCAGUUGCAGUGGUACCCACCACCAAAAUAUGGUUUAAUACGCAGGAGCACCCUUGAGUCACUUGUCAGACCCUGCAUUGAUUUUCACUCCAUCUGUGAGACUGCAGAAGCUGGGGUCUGCAUGCUGCCUGGGGUUCAAAAGAAUAUAAUGCACAUCCACCUAGCAGCUUAUACUGUAUGCUUCCAUAUUUCCUUCUGUUUCCCUCAGCCUCAUUCACUUUAUUAAAUAUGAUGCAUUGAUCCUGGGAGCAAAUCCAAUUGCUUCCCUGUUGUGAAGCAAAUUGGCCCAAGCUUCUCAGGGGGUUUUCACCUUCCUCAGGAUAAAAAGCACAACUUAACUAAUUAUUAAUACAGCUGUGAAUUACACAAGUUAACCACUGUGUGUGUCAUUAUUCUGGAUAUUGGUCUCAUGUGGCAGGGGAGAGAGUGUGAGAAGUGACAAAAUGAUGACUACUUCAGUGCAUAGGGCUAUGGCAAUCUCCACUGAGCACCAAUAAACCGACUUACUUUAUUAGCACACAAAUCCAUUCUUUUUAUUAUUUAUAUGAAAUACUGCUGACUAGUUAUGGGGCAUCACAGCACAAUAAUUGGGCCCCUUAAAGUUACACAAUUUAUGUAAUUUAUGCAAACCCCACUGACCCCUAUUGCCACCUUUUCUGGGGAAAAAAUAAUGGCCUUCCUAUAUAUUUUUCUUUCUAUUACAUUAGCAGCAAGCAAGUGGCAACCCUAAUUGUCUGACUUAAAAACACAUUAAUGGGAGUAUUUAUAUGAACUAAUUAUAGAGUAACAUGAGCUGUUUAUAUUGGGAUACAUUUACUGAAUUAUAUGAGCAUCUCCAACAUGAACUUCAGUAGUAGAAUGACUUUGACCCACAGCCAGAUCAAGAGGACAAGCCAAAUAUUUUGGUAAUACAUGCUUGUGUUCAUGGGGGGGGAGAAGGGGGCAGACAAAUAACUUGUAUGGGUCCCCAAAGUUUCUCAUGGGGCUCAGGUUUAUCAUACACCAUUCAUGCAUUUUGAGAUCAAUAAAACAAGUUCUCCUAA